UAAAGAUUCAUCGCUGAUAGAUAGGCAUGCGUUCCAUUAGGCAGUUGGCGGGGUAACGGCCCACCAAACCGACGAUGGAUAGGGGUUCUGAGAGGAAGGUCCCCCACAUUGGUACUGAGACACGGACCAAACUCCUACGGGAGGCAGCAGUGAGGAAUAUUGGUCAAUGGGCGUAAGCCUGAACCAGCCAAGUCGCGUGAGGGAUGAAGGUUCUAUGGAUCGUAAACCUCUUUUAUAAGGGAAUAAAGUGCGGGACGUGUCCCGUUUUGUAUGUACCUUAUGAAUAAGGAUCGGCUAACUCCGUGCCAGCAGCCGCGGUAAUACGGAGGAUCCGAGCGUUAUCCGGAUUUAUUGGGUUUAAAGGGUGCGUAGGCGGCCUUUUAAGUCAGCGGUGAAAGUCUGUGGCUCAACCAUAGAAUUGCCGUUGAAACUGGGAGGCUUGAGUAUGUUUGAGGCAGGCGGAAUGCGUGGUGUAGCGGUGAAAUGCUUAGAUAUCACGCAGAACCCCGAUUGCGAAGGCAGCCUGCCAAGCCAUGACUGACGCUGAUGCACGAAAGUGUGGGGAUCAAACAGGAUUAGAUACCCUGGUAGUCCACGCAGUA
RNAcentral lists this ribosomal RNA (602 nucleotides) under uncultured bacterium. Its description in RNAcentral is "bacterial SSU rRNA". It matches the Rfam family "Bacterial small subunit ribosomal RNA", at positions 202 to 804 of the family's 1533-position model. The record is from RNAcentral.